RNAcentral lists this ribosomal RNA (746 nucleotides) under uncultured bacterium. RNAcentral describes it as "bacterial SSU rRNA". It matches the Rfam family "Bacterial small subunit ribosomal RNA", at positions 1 to 749 of the family's 1533-position model. The record is from RNAcentral.
UAGAGUUUGAUCCUGGCUCAGGCCCAUAGCUGGCGGCGUGCCUAACACAUGCAAGUCGAACGGAGCGGUGACGGGAAACCCCCUCGGGGGCGGAACGGCGCCGUCUCAGUGGCGGACGGGUGAGUAACGCGUGGGCAGCCUGCCCCGUACCGGGGGAUAACAGCCGGAAACGGCUGCUAAUACCGCAUAAGCGCACGGGUGCCGCAUGGCACUGCGUGAAAAACCACGGUGGUACGGGAUGGGCCCGCGUCCGAUUAGUUAGUUGGCGGGGUAACGGCCCGCCAAGACCGCGAUCGGUAGCCGGCCUGAGAGGGCGGACGGCCACAUUGGGACUGAGACACGGCCCAGACUCCUGCGGGAGGCAGCAGUGGGGGAUAUUGCACAAUGGGGGGAACCCUGAUGCAGCGACGCCGCGUGGGUGAGGAAGUACCCCGGUAUGUAAAGCCCUUUCGGCAGGGAAGAAAAUGACGGUACCUGGCGAAGAAGCCCCGGCUAACUACGUGCCAGCAGCCGCGGUAAUACGUAGGGGGCAAGCGUUAUCCGGAUUCACUGGGUGUAAAGGGAGCGCAGGCGGUACGGCGAGUCUGAUGUGAAAACCCGGGGCCCAACCCCGGGACCGCACCGGAUACUGCCGGACUCGAGUGCCGGAGGGGCAGGCGGAAUUCCUGGUGUAGCGGUGAAAUGCGCAGAUAUCAUGAGGAACACCGGUGGCGAAUGCGGCCUGCUGGACGGUAACCUGACGCUGA